UACGUAGGGUGCGAGCGUUAAUCGGAAUAACUGGGCGUAAAGGGUGCGUAGGCGGAUAUAUAAGUUAGAUGUGAAAUACCUGGGCUCAACCUGGGAGGUGCAUUUAAGACUGUAUGUCUAGAGUUAGUAAGAGGAUGGGGGAAUUCCGAGUGUAGCAGUGAAAUGCGUAGAGAUUCGGAGGAACACCGGUGGCGAAGGCGCCCAUCUGGGAUAUAACUGACGCUGAGGCACGAAAGCGUGGGGAGCAAACAGG
This 253-nucleotide ribosomal RNA is filed under the name uncultured bacterium. RNAcentral describes it as "partial 16S ribosomal RNA". It matches the Rfam family "Bacterial small subunit ribosomal RNA", at positions 524 to 776 of the family's 1533-position model. The record is from RNAcentral.